CCUACGGGAGGCUGCAGUGGGGAAUAUUGGACAAUGGGGGCAACCCUGAUCCAGCCAUGCCGCGUGUGUGAAGAAGGCCCUCGGGUUGUAAAGCACUUUCAGUGAGGAAGAACGCCUGGUGGUUAAUACCCAUCAGGAAAGACAUCACUCACAGAAGAAGCACCGGCUAACUCCGUGCCAGCAGCCGCGGUAAUACGGAGGGUGCGAGCGUUAAUCGGAAUUACUGGGCGUAAAGCGCGCGUAGGUGGCUUGAUAAGCCGGUUGUGAAAGCCCCGGGCUCAACCUGGGAACGGCAUCCGGAACUGUCAAGCUAGAGUGCAGGAGAGGAAGGUAGAAUUCCCGGUGUAGCGGUGAAAUGCGUAGAGAUCGGGAGGAAUACCAGUGGCGAAGGCGGCCUUCUGGACUGACACUGACACUGAGGUGCGAAAGCGUGGGUAGCAAACCGGAUUAGAUACCCUAGUAGUC
RNAcentral lists this ribosomal RNA (465 nucleotides) under Vreelandella stevensii. RNAcentral's name for it is "partial 16S ribosomal RNA". It matches the Rfam family "Bacterial small subunit ribosomal RNA", at positions 338 to 795 of the family's 1533-position model. Lineage: Bacteria; Pseudomonadati; Pseudomonadota; Gammaproteobacteria; Oceanospirillales; Halomonadaceae. The record is from RNAcentral.